AUGAGCAAUUUACCAACUACCCGAAAAGACAUUGAAAGAGCAUUCGGGGUUUUACAAUCUAGGUUUGCCAAUGUUCGUGGUUCUGCUCGUUUUUGGGACAAGAGGACCUUGAAAAAUAUCAUGACAUGUUGUGUUAUCCUUCACAAUAUGAUUCUCGAAGAUGAGAGAGGAAUGAACUUGGAGUUCUUCUACGACUAUGUGGGUAGCCGUGUCAAACUAGCUAGAGACCCUAACCACAUUAGAGCUUUUCUUCAAACCUACAAAGAGAUUGAAAACGCAAACACCCAUUUUCAGCUUCAGAAGGAUCUCAUUGAGCACCAUUGGCAAAAGGCUGGACAGUAA
Molecule: ribosomal RNA, 342 nt
Filed under: Triticum aestivum (bread wheat)
Lineage: Eukaryota; Viridiplantae; Streptophyta; Magnoliopsida; Poales; Poaceae
Description: partial small subunit ribosomal RNA
Source: RNAcentral